UAACAAGGAUUCCCCUAGUAACUGCGAGUGAAGCGGGAAAAGCUCAAAUUUAAAAUCUGGCGGUCUUCGAUCGUCCGAGUUGUAGUCUGGAGAAGCGUCUUCCGCGCUGGACCGUGUACAAGUCUCUUGGAACAGAGCGUCGUAGAGGGUGAGAAUCCCGUCUUUGACACGGACUACCAGUGCUUUGUGAUGCGCUCUCAAAGAGUCGAGUUGUUUGGGAAUGCAGCUCAAAAUGGGUGGUAAAUUCCAUCUAAAGCUAAAUAUUGGCGAGAGACCGAUAGCGAACAAGUACCGUGAGGGAAAGAUGAAAAGCACUUUGGAAAGAGAGUUAAACAGUACGUGAAAUUGCUGAAAGGGAAACGAUUGAAGUCAGUCGCGUCGUCUAGAACUCAACCUUGCCUCGGCUCGGUGCAUUUUCUAGUUGACGGGCCAGCAUCAGUUUUGACCGUUGGAAAAAGGUCCUUGGAAUGUGGCACCUUCGGGUGUGUUAUAGCCUCGGGUCGUAUACGACGGUUGGGACUGAGGACCGCAGCACGCCUUUAUGGCCGGGGUUCGCCCACGUACGUGCUUAGGAUGCUGGCGUAAUGGCUUUAAACGACCCGUCUUGAAACACGGACCAAGGAGUCUAACAUGCCUGCGAGUGUUUGGGUGGUAAACCCGAGCGCGUAACGAAAGUGAAAGUUGGGAUCCCUGUCGUGGGGAGCACCGACGCCCACACCAGACCUUCUGUGACGGAUGUGCGGUUGAGCAUGUAUGUUGGGACCCGAAAGAUGGUGAACUAUGCCUGAAUAGGGUGAAGCCAGAGGAAACUCUGGUGGAGGCUCGUAGCGAUUCUGACGUGCAAAUCGAUCGUCAAAUUUGGGUAUAGGGCGAAAAGACUAAUCGAACCAUCUAGAACUGG
RNAcentral lists this ribosomal RNA (901 nucleotides) under Phlebia sp. RNAcentral's name for it is "partial large subunit ribosomal RNA". It matches the Rfam family "Eukaryotic large subunit ribosomal RNA", at positions 66 to 954 of the family's 3401-position model. Lineage: Eukaryota; Fungi; Basidiomycota; Agaricomycetes; Polyporales; Meruliaceae. The record is from RNAcentral.